AGACGAGUCCUGCCAGAUAUUUCAGGAGGUAGAGUAUUAGAUGCCCUAUCACAGGUUGCCGAUCAGAUAGAAGCAGUUUUGGAGAGUUUGCCUACGCUUCCACACUCUGUACCUCCACGACCAGCAGACUAUAGUGGAGCAUCGACGUCCGGCCAUGCACCAGUAUAUAGUCCACCGAGACCAUCAUCACCUAUAGAGGAGCCACCUUAUGCUGAUGUUAUGGACCCGGCACCAACACCAGUACCAAAGGAUCCACCUCGAGCAGUUGAUAUUGUUUAUUAUAGGCGCCGACGACAUAUGAGGUCUAUCCGUACAGAUCAACCCUCCUCUUCAGCUCCUCCACGGCCAGACAUACUACCGACACCUGCUACUGCUGUGAUUGAGCCGGUUAUUGAGGGUGUUGCUAUCGAGCAUUUGGACCAGUUGGAGGUCUUAGAGCCUUUUGAUGAGCAUGGUGUUGAUCGUGGUCGCGGACGUGGUAGGCGACGUGGUCAAUGGGGUAGGAGGAGAAUGUGAUAUUAUAUUUCUAUAUUAUUGUAAAACUUGCUUUAAUUUUGGAUAUUCUGUUGUGAUUAUUUGGUAUUGAUAAUUUAUUGAGAUUCGGUUGGUAGUGAUGUGUAUAUUGUACUGUUGUGUUGUGAUGCUGUGAUGUUGUAUUGUACUGUUGCGUUUAGGUAUCUGUAUUGUAUUGUUGUGUUGUGAUAUGUGAUGUGUAUUGAUUUUUUUUUUUGCUCCAAAAAUAUGCUGAUGUUGUGAAAUGUAUUUUGAUUUGAUUUUUGGCGCAAAAAAAAAGGCUAAGGCUGCCUAGUUGUAUUGGACACGGUGAACCAUUCACCAU
RNAcentral lists this long non-coding RNA (838 nucleotides) under Ananas comosus (pineapple). RNAcentral describes it as "long non-coding RNA (ACOM_LNC033186)". Lineage: Eukaryota; Viridiplantae; Streptophyta; Magnoliopsida; Poales; Bromeliaceae. The record is from RNAcentral.